CGUAAUAUGGUAACACAAUAUAACUUUAGAUAGCGAUAAUAGGAAAAAUAUCUAAAAGAUACACGACGAAUAGUACGUUUAUUUCCCACGGUGGGUAUUGUUGGGUGGUAGGAGCCGGUUUUCCAACCAACUUUUCUGGGAAUUGGAGAACGGGAAAACGAAAAAAUUCCCGAAAAUGGGCGAGAAGGAAUUCCCGUCGAGAAGCCCUACACUCACCUAUUGUUUAUAUAUAUACACAGCCAAGCUAAUAGUUACGAAAGAUGCGAAGAUUUAUAAAAGAACUCGGAGACGAGUUUAGAUGGGCAUAAAAUCGUCCGAUAACGCUGACGCCAUUUCCUACCACGCUGAAUGUAUCCCCUCCGCCUGGUAGGGGAGUCCACCGUUUAUAAUCCAUUAGCGCGGUAUAAUCUGGUGGUAAAGGUGUUAUUUCUAAUACUUAAGCCGUAUAAUUCUUCCGAGGAUAUCGAUAUUCAACCAAUACAGUUAUUAUUCAAAUUACCGACGAAUACCGUGUUAGGAAAGCCACCAAUGAAAUUUAAGAAAUACACUUAAGUUAGCCAACGAGUAAGUGGGGAUAAAUUAAAUGGAAGCGAAAGUUAAGGAAACUCUGAGAGAAAUAUCAGGAAAACAUAAAAUGAUUAGAAAUAAAAGAAGAAAAAUAUUAAGUUAUAAAGAUACUUAAAUUACAGUCGGAGAUUUGUUUUUACCACGACCAGCCAAACCGAAUAGAAUUUAAAAAGUAAAUAUAAAUAAUAACGAUAAGACUAAAUAUAUUUAAAUUUUUGAUUAGUUUCUCCACCUUAAGUUUCAGUUUUCGAAUCGUCGACUACCAUUAAGUCACGCGUAAUAUGUAAAAUAAGAUAUUUACAAAUGUUAAUAAUAAUAAGUAAAUAAAUUUCCGUAGGUAAAACAGAAUACCAAUAUUCCAGAAGAGAAGCUGAUAGGAAAUAAAAGCAUUAU
RNAcentral lists this long non-coding RNA (960 nucleotides) under Androctonus crassicauda. The record is from RNAcentral. Lineage: Eukaryota; Metazoa; Arthropoda; Arachnida; Scorpiones; Buthidae.